This 254-nucleotide ribosomal RNA is filed under the name uncultured bacterium. RNAcentral's name for it is "partial 16S ribosomal RNA". It matches the Rfam family "Bacterial small subunit ribosomal RNA", at positions 524 to 776 of the family's 1533-position model. The record is from RNAcentral.
UACGAAGGGGGCUAGCGUUGUUCGGAAUCACUGGGCGUAAAGGGCGCGUAGGCGGUUUUGCAAGCCAGAGGUGAAAUGCCUGAGCUCAACUUAGGAAUUGCCUUUGGGACUGCGAGGCUUUGAGGACUGGAGAGGUGAGUGGAAUUCCCAGUGUAGAGGUGAAAUUCGUAGAUAUUGGGAAGAACACCGGUGGCGAAGGCGGCUCACUGGCCAGUUUCUGACGCUGCAGCGCGAAAGCGUGGGGAUCAAACAGG